This is a long non-coding RNA of Notolabrus celidotus (New Zealand spotty), 2081 nucleotides long. RefSeq lists it as uncharacterized. The transcript is spliced from 3 exons. The record is from RefSeq and is a predicted model, not a curated record. NCBI's taxonomy places the organism in Eukaryota, Metazoa, Chordata, Actinopteri, Labriformes, Labridae.
CGGACAGACGUGAUAUCCCAAGAGGGUCAGCUACAAAUAACAUGGAGCUGCUGUAGUAGGACGGAGAGGGGUGAUAGAUGGUGGCAAAAGAUGGAGGUGAUGGAACCGUGGGAUGUAUUUCACUGUCAAUCAGGGAAACAUCACACCCAUUUAGCGCUUUGGGAUUUAGGGCACGAGUGGAAAAAAUAUGGUGUUGUUCUUAAGUGUAUGGUCUGUGCAGAUGUCAGUGGCUCCCAGAAGGAAUGACCAUGAGCGUCAGUGAGUGUGACAGGUGCACAACAGCACCUACAUGGCUGUGUUCAAGGAUCACUCAUUCACACAGGCCCACAAACCAGAGCUUGAAGCUCACUCUCUGCCGGCAUAUAACCUCUGACGCCUUGUCAAGGUCAAAUGAAUCCUGUAAUUAGCCUGUGCCGUAGAAAGGCGGAGAUGCAGAAAUAACCAAUACAAGUCAGCAGUUGAUCAGCAGCCCCGCAGAUUUUGUCAUAAUCGAGCCAUAUGUGGACUCGCAUGGCGCGGCGGCGUCAAGCGCAGAGGAUUAAAGAGCGUCGCUCACCGUCAGUGCUGCGACGAAAUAUCCAUCUAGCAGGUGAUGGAGUGGAAGCCAAAGCCCAUCUCAUUUGAGCCAUUCAAAUUGAUGUGUUUGAGGUCAAACGAUCUCUAGUUAUUCGAGCGAUUCACGUCACACGAGACUAUCAAUUCAUAAAAGCGAAACAAGCACACGAUCUACGAGUGUGAAAUGGGGAGAAACGAGUAGAAAAUAGAGAUUCUCACCUUAAGUAGUGUACAGAACGAAGUCUGAAGUCCAAGUCAGCGUGACAGUAUGAAUCCACAGUGAGCGUGGGUUAUCUUCAUUCAGGCACUGUCUCCGGAUGCAACAUCUCUGCGCGCAUAGAGAUGCCAAAUCACAGAGCUUCCAGUCACACAGGGCGCAUGGUGCGUAAAGUCUGACGCAGGAGCGCGACGCCUGCCACAACUUUGGCUACUAUAAUCACAUUAACUUGUGCAGGUAACGACCCCUUACUACCGAUUUGCACUCAGUCAGCACUUUGAAGUUGUUCCACAGCUCCGUGAAAAAAAACUGCUCACACCUCCGGUUUCCACGUGCUUCUGGCUGUGCUGUUGUUGGAUAAAUCAGACAGCUCCCCUUUGGAUGAAAAAAUUACUAUGGCAAGUCACGACGAAGUCUGACGCAGGUUUGACUCACCCGCUCGUGCGCACGUCAGCGAUUGCCCCCCCCCCUCCCCUCCAAAAAAAAAAAACAAGCCAUCUGCAGUGAUCACACGAUGCAAAUGAGAUCGUCACAAAGCACCUACAGGCGCUCUGCAGUACAAGGCUGUGAAUGAGCCACUGAAGUCUAGCUCAACAAACCUUCAUCCCCUCUGCAAAAUACAACUUUACACAUGCUCUGUUUUCAUGCCAGUGGUUCAUCGCUUCUGAUGUGUGACUCGACAUGUAAACAGGAGAGCCAGGUUGCCAGGUCACAAAUUAACAAUGCUGACGAACACCGGCGGGUUGAAUCUGAUCUCUGUCUCGGCAGGGGUAUCUGUUGCAGCUCAACCUCAUCGGCAAUCCCUGUUUACCUUCUGUCCCCCCUUUUCCUGGUGGAGAUGGUGCAGUCUAAACUGUGGCACGUGUACUGACACCUUAGCCUGCUCCCUUGUGUGAGAUUGCUGGUGUAGGAGAGAGGCGGACAAGUACAGAGGAAGUGAUGCUUCAGCUAGUCCUGAGUGACUACCUGCAACUCCUCUGCACAUGAAGAAGGAGGAAAAAGAGCCGCAGGGCAGCUGUUACCAAGCCGGCUCACCUGUCCUCUUUAUGGAAAUGCUGCUGAUGCAAUAGCAUCCUUACUUACCUAGAUUUAAAGUGACACGUGGCCCAUUGGCAGCUUGAUAAAGCGUCACUCUUUUAUCUCCAGACAAAGAAAGAAACAUAAAAGUCAUGACCUCAACAGGACAAACAGGAGUAUUGAAAUCUGUGAUGAAUGUGCAGCCGUAAAAUCAUUAUCAGGGAAUGCCUUGAGACAGCAACAAACACUAAUUUGAGCCAAAGAUGCAAUAAAGGCAAUAUAAGACACAUAC